Molecule: ribosomal RNA, 116 nt
Filed under: Bacillus halotolerans
Lineage: Bacteria; Bacillati; Bacillota; Bacilli; Caryophanales; Bacillaceae
Source: RNAcentral
UCUGGUGAUGAUGGCGAAGAGGUCACACCCGUUCCCAUGCCGAACACGGAAGUUAGGCUCUUCAGCGCCGAUGGUAGUCGGGGGUUUCCCCCUGUGAGAGUAGGACAUCGCCAGGC